Molecule: long non-coding RNA, 2063 nt
Filed under: Felis catus (domestic cat)
Lineage: Eukaryota; Metazoa; Chordata; Mammalia; Carnivora; Felidae
Description: lncRNA (ENSFCAG00000043576.2)
Source: RNAcentral
UGUUUGCGUAUUUGUUUUAGGGCAGAUCGAGUGUGACUUAGGUAAUAUGAUUGCAUUCGCAGGAAUUCACAGAGAUGAAAACACAGAUCUGAGAUCGUGCCAGAACGCAUAAGAAGUUCCCAAUGCAUAAGAGUAGAGCACGAGAACGCUAAAACGUUCAGAGUUGCAUCUUGUGUCGAUGAGGAACUCAGAAGUGUUCUCCUUUCUGGGCUUUUUGACCCAUCCAAGACGAUAAAGCAGGUUCUCGAUCAUCUCUCCCCCAUCUUAUCUUGCUUCUUUUGCCUCCUUUUUAUCAUCACCAAAUACUUUGAGCAGCUGUAGGUGUUAUGGGUUAAAUAGUUUCUGGGUGGUUGGCCAUUUGGCCAGAGGGCAUCUGAGCAUCACCUGUGGUCAGCACUUUUUGGCUCAUGCGCGUUAGCAGUUUGGGACGUCAUAGGGAAUCCCCGAGGACAGAUGAGGUGGGGGAAGAGGCCAUACAUUUGGGCUUUCGUGCAUGUCAGGGUGGGGCUAAGUUGGAAACGUGGUAAUGAGGGAAGAUUUCCUAGAGAGACCGAUAGUGCCCAGGAUCCUGUGCCGGCAAUGGCUGCCACUUUCUGGCUGGGUGAUCAUGGGCAUAGCUGAGAAUAUAAAAAGUGUGAAUAAAUGAACAUGGUGUUGGAGAGAAGAGAAACAUUAUGUGCUAUUCCAUCGGCAACGGGAGAUGCCUGUUUCGUGAGAUUGCGGUGCAGGUCACAAAAUGCUGACUCGGGAAAUCACAGACGACGGUUGGCCGACUUUCCCACCCGCAGACCGAGGGUCCCACCCCGCGCGUGGCCCUCUGGCAUUCCGCCGGAUUCUUUGGAGCCAGUGCUGCCUUGGUGGGUGUGAGGUUCUUAUCUGCAACCUUGGGAAAUCCGAGUUUUCUCUCUUCCAGGAAAGAAGCAAGUGUGAAAGUAAGAAAAAGGAAGGAAUGUGUGUUCAAGGACUCACGGAAGAGAGACCUUCCAGAAGACACUGCAUCGGCUACUCUGAAAGACCCAACAGGAUGAAGACCAAGAGAAAGAAAGGAGGAAGCCACCGAUGACCUCGCCUUUCUUGGGGGAAACGUUUAUUUAUCACCGUUUAUCUCCAGCCACCUUUGUCUCUCAGCCCAGACCCACAUUUUCCAUGGCCUCCUCCUGAACAUCAUUGCCUUGCUAUUCCUUGGCUAGUUCAAGCUUAGCAUACCCCAAACAGAGCUCCACCCCUUCACUCCAGCCCCCCCAGCCCCUGAUCAGACAGAUAGACACCAGACUCAUUCACCUGUUUUCUCCAUCCUCCUUGGUUACGUCACCAUCCACCCUCAUCCACUGAGUAGCAUUCCAGAAUCUUCCCUUCCUCUCCCGGUGCACGUUUAGAUGACCCUUUAAAUAUCUCUUUGGCUAAUCUCUCCUCUCUAACCUCGAGGCUACAGCCUUAGGCCUUCCUCAUCUCUUAUCUAGACCAGCUCACCACCACCUUACCCCUGGUCCUCCCACUCUUAACCCGCCCUCCACACCUUCACACACUCUGAAUGCCUUUGGACCAUUUGCCUGACACAUAACACCCCAUUCCCAUUCUCCCCAGAAAAAAAGUCUUCCUUCUUUAAAAUAUCGCAAAUAAUAAGACAGUGAACAUGUGUGUCGAUACGACUCACUUUAAUCAUUCAGAUUAUUUCCUAGAGAUAAAUUCCCAGGGUUGAAGGCUGUGGAUAUUGGUAUCUAUCAACACUUUCACACAUCUGAAACUGAACACGAACACACCUCCCACCUGCCCGCCCCCCCUUUUGGUCUCCAUCUUACGUGUCUUUUUUAAAAAAAACUUAAUUUUUGUGCCAUGACUCUGCUUGGAUUUUUUCUUCUCUUCUAAAUCAGGUCCCAGUGAUCUUUUUAUCGAGACAAAUUAUUUUGGUUUUAAAGCAGUAUGUGUCGAGGCCCCUUCCUCCCCCCUUUCUUUGUGUUUUGCUUUUGCUUUUGCACACACACUGCUUCGGGUUAGAAGAACUUUUUUGUAACUGACAGGCAUCUCACGACUUCUGUCAUGUGGCAACUUCUCCCCAGGGAACU